GAUGAACGCUAGCUACAGGCUUAACACAUGCAAGUCGAGGGGAAACGGCAUUAAGUGCUUGCACUUUUUGGACGUCGACCGGCGCACGGGUGAGUAACGCGUAUCCAACCUUCCCAUGACUAAGGGAUAACCUGCCGAAAGGCAGACUAAUACCUUAUGGUCUUCACUGACGGCAUCAGAUGUGAAGUAAAGAUUUAUCGGUUAUGGAUGGGGAUGCGUCUGAUUAGCUUGUUGGCGGGGUAACGGCCCACCAAGGCAACGAUCAGUAGGGGUUCUGAGAGGAAGGUCCCCCACAUUGGAACUGAGACACGGUCCAAACUCCUACGGGAGGCAGCAGUGAGGAAUAUUGGUCAAUGGGCGAGAGCCUGAACCAGCCAAGUAGCGUGCAGGAUGACGGCCCUAUGGGUUGUAAACUGCUUUUGUAUGGGGAUAAAGUCAAUCACGUGUGAUUGUUUGCAGGUACCAUACGAAUAAGAACCGGCUAAUUCCGUGCCAGCAGCCGCGGUAAUACGGAAGGUCCGGGCGUUAUCCGGAUUUAUUGGGUUUAAAGGGAGCGUAGGCUGGAGAUUAAGUGUGUUGUGAAAUGUAGACGCUCAACGUCUGACUUGCAGCGCAUACUGGUUUCCUUGAGUACGCACAACGUUGGCGGAAUUCGUCGUGUAGCGGUGAAAUGCUUAGAUAUGACGAAGAACUCCGAUUGCGAAGGCAGCUGACGGGAGCGCAACUGACGCUGAAGCUCGAGGGUGCGGGUAUCGAACAGG
RNAcentral lists this ribosomal RNA (761 nucleotides) under Prevotella melaninogenica. Its description in RNAcentral is "bacterial SSU rRNA". It matches the Rfam family "Bacterial small subunit ribosomal RNA", at positions 28 to 776 of the family's 1533-position model. The record is from RNAcentral. Lineage: Bacteria; Pseudomonadati; Bacteroidota; Bacteroidia; Bacteroidales; Prevotellaceae.